UACGAAGGGUGCAAGCGUUACCCGGAAUUACUGGGCGUAAAGCGUGCGUAGGCGGUUUGUUAAGUCCGUUGUGAAAGCCCUGGGCUCAACCUGGGAAUUGCAGUGGAUACUGGCGAGCCAGAGUGCGGUAGAGGAUGGUGGAAUUCCCGGUGUAGCGGUGAAAUGCGUAGAGAUCGGGAGGAACACCCGUGGCGAAGGCGGCCAUCUGGACCAGCACUGACGCUGAGGCACGAAAGCGUGGGGAGCAAACAGG
Molecule: ribosomal RNA, 253 nt
Filed under: uncultured bacterium
Lineage: Bacteria
Description: partial 16S ribosomal RNA
Rfam family: Bacterial small subunit ribosomal RNA
Source: RNAcentral